GCCCGGAUGGCGAAAUAGGUAGACGCAAGAGACUUAAAAUCUCUCGGUGGUUACACCGUGCCGGUUCGAUUCCGGCUCCGGGCACCA
Molecule: transfer RNA, 87 nt
Filed under: Halomonadaceae bacterium
Lineage: Bacteria; Pseudomonadati; Pseudomonadota; Gammaproteobacteria; Oceanospirillales; Halomonadaceae
Also listed under: 1 other name
Description: tRNA-Leu
Rfam family: tRNA
About the family: Transfer RNA (tRNA) molecules are approximately 80 nucleotides in length.
Source: RNAcentral